GGGGAAUUUUGGACAAUGGGCGCAAGCCUGAUCCAGCAAUGCCGCGUGCAGGAUGAAGGCCUUCGGGUUGUAAACUGCUUUUGUACGGAGCGAAAAGGUCUGCCCUAAUACGGUGGGCUCAUGACGGUACCGUCAGAAUAAGCACCGGCUAACUACGUGCCAGCAGCCGCGGUAAUACGUAGGGUGCGAGCGUUAAUCGGAAUUACUGGGCGUAAAGCGUGCGCAGGCGGUUAUAUAAGACAGAUGUGAAAUCCCCGGGCUCAACCUGGGACCUGCAUUUGUGACUGAAUAGCUAGAGUACGGUAGAGGUAGAUGGAAUUCCUCGUGUAGCAGUGAAAUGCGUAGAUAUGCGGAGGAACACCGAUGGCGAAGGCAAUCCCCUGGACCUGAACUGACGCUCAUGCGCGAAAGCGUGGGGAGCAAACA
Molecule: ribosomal RNA, 426 nt
Filed under: uncultured bacterium
Lineage: Bacteria
Description: bacterial SSU rRNA
Rfam family: Bacterial small subunit ribosomal RNA
Source: RNAcentral